GCGAACGUGGCGGAAUUGGUAGACGCGCUGGAUUCAGGUUCCAGUGGGUAACACUGUGGGGGUUCGAGUCCCCCCGUUCGCACCA
Molecule: transfer RNA, 85 nt
Filed under: Myxococcales bacterium
Lineage: Bacteria; Pseudomonadati; Myxococcota; Myxococcia; Myxococcales
Also listed under: 1 other name
Description: tRNA-Leu
Rfam family: tRNA
About the family: Transfer RNA (tRNA) molecules are approximately 80 nucleotides in length. Their secondary structure includes four short double-helical elements and three loops (D, anti-codon, and T loops). Further hydrogen bonds mediate the characteristic L-shaped molecular structure. tRNAs have two regions of fundamental functional importance: the anti-codon, which is responsible for specific mRNA codon recognition, and the 3' end, to which the tRNAs corresponding amino acid is attached (by aminoacyl-tRNA synthetases). tRNAs cope with the degeneracy of the genetic code in two manners: having more than one tRNA (with a specific anti-codon) for a particular amino acid; and 'wobble' base-pairing, i.e. permitting non-standard base-pairing at the 3rd anti-codon position.
Source: RNAcentral